GACGAACGCUGGCGGCGUGCUUAAUACAUGCAAGUCAACUUGUCUUACGGUAGCAAUAUCGUAAGAAGAGUGGCGCACGGGUGCGUAACGCGUAGGUAAUCUGCCUUUGGGUCUGCCGUAAUCCAGCGAAAGCUGGACUAAUAUCAGAUGAUGCAGCGGCACCACAUGGUGACAGUUGUUAAAGUUUUAACGCCCAAACGAAUGAGCCUGCGUCCCAUAGGUAGUUGGUAGAGUAAUAGCUACCAAGCCAACGAUGGUAGCUGGUCUGAGAGGACGAUCAGCCACACUGGAAC
This 293-nucleotide ribosomal RNA is filed under the name uncultured bacterium. RNAcentral describes it as "partial 16S ribosomal RNA". It matches the Rfam family "Bacterial small subunit ribosomal RNA", at positions 28 to 319 of the family's 1533-position model. The record is from RNAcentral.